GUGGGGAAUCUUGCGCAAUGGGCGAAAGCCUGACGCAGCCAUGCCGCGUGAAUGAUGAAGGUCUUAGGAUUGUAAAAUUCUUUCACCGGGGACGAUAAUGACGGUACCCGGAGAAGAAGCUCCGGCUAACUUCGUGCCAGCAGCCGCGGUAAUACGAAGGGGGCUAGCGUUGCUCGGAAUUACUGGGCGUAAAGGGCGCGUAGGCGGACAGCUUAGUCAGAGGUGAAAGCCCAGGGCUCAACCUUGGAAUUGCCUUUGAUACUGGCUGUCUUGAGUUUGGGAGAGGUGAGUGGAACUCCGAGUGUAGAGGUGAAAUUCGUAGAUAUUCGGAAGAACACCAGUGGCGAAGGCGACUCACUGGCCCAAUACUGACGCUGAGGCGCGAAAGCGUGGGGAGCAAACAGGAUUAGAUACCCCUGUAAUCC
RNAcentral lists this ribosomal RNA (425 nucleotides) under uncultured bacterium. RNAcentral's name for it is "partial 16S ribosomal RNA". It matches the Rfam family "Bacterial small subunit ribosomal RNA", at positions 354 to 796 of the family's 1533-position model. The record is from RNAcentral.